CACCACCUCCUGCCGACCGCCCCCCUCCCCGGCACCGCUCGCCGCCACAAACGCCGCAGCCGUUGGCGGCUCCCCCCACGCCCGCCCCUGCUACUCUUCUCCGCUAUUGCCGCCUAGCCCCGCUGCCUCCUCUCCACCGGCGGGAUUCGCCGCUACCGGCCACCACCUCUCACCCCAAGCCCUCACCGUGUCGUCGGCGUGGCUUCGGUGACUCCUCCCCUGCUCCUACCUCGCCCCACACGUAGCUCGACCCACUGGAUGGAGCUCCUCCGCCCGGUCGCCAUGGCCAUGGGGUGCUCAAGCUCCUCCUCCGAUCAGUUCACCCCCUCCUCUCUCUCUCUCCUCCUCCUCCCUCUCUCUCUCUCUAAACUCAGCUCUGUUCUUCUAUUCUAGAUGUGCAGGGAGGAACAUUUCAUGGACAAUGAGGAGAUAUGCAAACCACGCCAUGACCUGAAGGUCCCUGUCAUGAAACCCUCUUCCCCUUUUCCCUGUAUAGUGAUGCUCCAUAUUGCUUGAUAUGAUUUUGGUCAAUCUUCACUUGAGCCGAGCUAGCUGCUGGAGCUGGACUUAUUUUGUGAAAUGGUGUUUCCGACGCCAUGCUGCUGCUGUCCCUCGGUUUGCUCUGCAGACGGGUACUGGAACUACUUGUCGCCAAGGAUGGAGAGCUACAGCGGUGUGCUCGCCAAGGCCAUCGACGUGGGCACCAACCACCUCGUCAAAGGCAUCGUCGUGUGCAGCAAGGCCUACGCCAGCCAGGGAGCCAACGUGAUUAGUCCUCAAGCAGUCAGCGGCGCAAGCAAAACGCUUGGGCGACACCGGUGGAGCUGACAGGGAACAGCCAGGCAGGUCCGGUGAAGCGUGGAGGAGUCGACAAGAACCUCAAGAGGGUGCGGAAGUCGUGUGUCAAAGAUGAUGGAGAAGAUGAGCAAGACGAUACUGGGCAUGGUCAUCUUGGAAACAACGAUGGGACCUUGCCGCGACGAGGAAAUCUUUGAGUUACAUUACAUCGUUGGCCUUCUUCCUAUGACAGAGAAAGUUAUGGACACGGUAGAGGCUGUCGAGAGGAGUUCCCUUGCUGCAACCUCCAAUGUUAUUUCGGGUGCAGUGUCCAAGAGGUAAGAACAUGAGCACCUCAAGCCAUAUGAGACCAUUUCUCUGUUCGAAAGUCAUAUCAGCAUUUUGAACGUCGACUUCGCCAGCACGACGGCCUGCUCGCUAUGCUCCCCUCAAGGAGCUUCAAGACAGCAGGGGCAGCAGGCUUCGCUCAACAUAUUCAUCUAUGAUUUUCUCCCCGAUUUUGAAAUUAUUUGGCCCCUAUAGUCCCCUUGAGAAAAAUCAGAGUAUUUAUGGACUAUGCUCUAUGGGUUGACAAAUUUGAUUGCAGGGGCUGGCAAAGUAAGUGCAGUGUCACCGUUGCACAUAUAUUCAGGGCUACAUCAAACUUCAGUCAGAAGAACAUGACCAGGCAGGGUGCUUCAUGCAGUAUUGGGAGUGAGAAAGUUUGGUGUAUAAUCAGUGUCGCCUCCACUCUGCCCCGCCCCUGUGCUUUUUCCUCGAUGGAAAUGCGGGCCACCACGCCGCUCACUUCGCGUGCAACCACUUCAUCUCCAACCUGUCGUUGGAGAGCAUUGCAGACCGAGCGGACAAACGACGAGGUGUAGCAGCACAACCUUGCCUCUUCCCCUUACUCUCCUUCACAAGUUGUGGCACCCAUCUGAGGCCAGCCUUGCUUGGCAUACAUGGCUGCACACAUGUGAUUGGAAACAUGCAUGGAAGCUUGGGCCUAGAUAUGCAAUUAUGCCUUCCUAAGUUUUACUGAUGCAAUUUCUUUUUGAAAGAUCCCUAAAAUCAUUUACGCUUUUGCUCCUGAGAAUUGUUUACUAUUGUGAAUUGUAUCAAUGGCCGAAAUGGUCAAUUAACGACAUAGACCAAGAUAUCAUAAAACCCCUUCAGUAGAUCGACUGAAAUAUGAACAUUCUUGGCCCAAAGUUACAGGAUUGCACCAAUUAAUUGCUAACCUCUUGGUUUUAAUGAUAAUUGUUCUACCAUAUGAUUUUCUUCUACUAGCAUCCCAUCCACAAUGUCAGUUGGAAUUAUAUAUAUAUAGCUUAGACAUUUAGUGUGAUAUAUUCUGCGAGAUGUGUUCAAAUCACUGUAUUUUUCCAUGAUAUUAACAAUUUUUCUUUGAAUGUUUAAGUGAACGUUCUCUAAAAUUUCAUUCUCAGUUAAGUCUGGUCUUUCUUUGGGUAAUUUAUAUAGUAAGGUCUGCAAGAAUUGAAUGCAGAUCCACUAUUCCCCGCCUCUGUAUUUACUGCAAUGCAUAUUUACCUGGAGCUAGCAUCACAUACUGUAUGUCAAGUGCCAAGUCAGUUUUCACUAAAUACAAAUUAAAAUAUAUAUAUGAACCUUUUCAUUAGCUUUGGCUGCACGUUUCUGGAUAAUGUCAAUAUCAAUAUUUGUAAGUACUCUUAUGAACUCAUAUGAUGCAUCUCCCACUAUUUUUUAUCUGCAAGGUGUCUGACAUAGUGUUUGGACAUACUUAUUUCUGGUAGUAACUUUUCCAUUGUGAAACUAUUUCGACUACAGUAGCUUGCGGGCAAUGUGGGCUACUACAAGACCGAGACCUGCAUUAAAAGAUGAUUACAUUUAGGAGUGAAUGAUGAUUAUCUGGAAAAUAGUUCAUCCUGCACAGUUUUCUCGGCAAGCUGGAACUUCCAGUUAUACUGGUUGUAUAUUUAUGGGUUAUAGACUUAUAGUUGAAAUUUUCAAAUGAUUAGGUAUUUUUGCAGUUGUAGUUGGAUAUACAAGUGCCUAAAACUGAAGUCGGCACUUCUUCACUAGAAGCUAUGUUCACUAGCUUGAUUUCUCCUAUGAGAUGUAGAAUUUUUAUUUCCGCUACAUUGUUGUAGUUUCCUUUUUUGCUGUAGCUGCUUAUCUAUCAGAGUAUCUAUGCAUGUGUGGGUUUAUGUUUCAUUAAUUGUCCUAUAAAUAAUCUGAAUUUCUUUCAAUC
Non-coding RNA from Aegilops tauschii subsp. strangulata, 3010 nucleotides. Lineage: Eukaryota; Viridiplantae; Streptophyta; Magnoliopsida; Poales; Poaceae. The record is from RefSeq and is a predicted model, not a curated record.